UAAAUUUAGACCCACAAGUCAAAAUACAACAUCACUUAUUGAUCCAAUAAUUUUUUGAUCAACGGAACAAGUUACCCUAGGGAUAACAGCACA
Molecule: ribosomal RNA, 93 nt
Filed under: Canis lupus familiaris (dog)
Lineage: Eukaryota; Metazoa; Chordata; Mammalia; Carnivora; Canidae
Description: partial 16S ribosomal RNA
Source: RNAcentral